RNAcentral lists this ribosomal RNA (491 nucleotides) under uncultured bacterium. RNAcentral describes it as "partial 16S ribosomal RNA". It matches the Rfam family "Bacterial small subunit ribosomal RNA", at positions 29 to 506 of the family's 1533-position model. The record is from RNAcentral.
AGUGAACGCUGGCGGUAGGCCUAACACAUGCAAGUCGAACGGCAGCACAGUAAGAGCUUGCUCUUACGGGUGGCGAGUGGCGGACGGGUGAGGAAUACAUCGGAAUCUACUUUUUCGUGGGGGAUAACGUAGGGAAACUUACGCUAAUACCGCAUACGACCUACGGGUGAAAGCAGGGGAUCUUCGGACCUUGCGCGAUUGAAUGAGCCGAUGUCGGAUUAGCUAGUUGGCGGGGUAAAGGCCCACCAAGGCGACGAUCCGUAGCUAGUCUGAGAGGAUGUAGGAACCAAAGGGAAAUGGAACACGGUCCGACACCCCACGGGGGGCAGCAGUGGGGAAGUUUGGAAAAGGGGCGGAAACCUAAACCAGUCAAAACGGGGGGGAAAAGAAACCCCUCGGGUUGUAAAGCCUUUUUUGGGGGAAAAAAAAGCAGCAGGUUAAAACCCCGUUGUUCUGACGGUACCAAAAAAAAAAGCACCGGCUAACUUCGU